CCUACGGGAGACAGCAGUGAGGAAUAUUGGUCAAUGGACGAGAGUCUGAACCAGCCAAGCCGCGUGAAGGACGAAGGUGCCAAGCAUUGUAAACUUCUUUUGUCAAGGGACAAAAUCAGGCUCGAGAGCCUGACCGAGGGUACUUGAAGAAAAAGCAUCGGCUAACUCCGUGCCAGCAGCCGCGGUAAUACGGAGGAUGCGAGCGUUAUCCGGAUUUAUUGGGUUUAAAGGGUGCGUAGGCGGACUGUUAAGUCAGCGGUAAAAGCCCGGGGCUCAACCCCGGCGAGCCGUUGAAACUGGCUGUCUUGAGAUGUCGAGAGGUAUGCGGAAUGCGCAGUGUAGCGGUGAAAUGCUUAGAUAUUGCGCAGAACUCCGAUUGCGAAGGCAGCAUACCGGCGGCGAUCUGACGCUGAGGCACGAAAGCGUGGGUAUCGAACAGGAUUAGAUACCCCUGUAGUC
Molecule: ribosomal RNA, 459 nt
Filed under: uncultured bacterium
Lineage: Bacteria
Description: partial 16S ribosomal RNA
Rfam family: Bacterial small subunit ribosomal RNA
Source: RNAcentral